RNAcentral lists this long non-coding RNA (1024 nucleotides) under Anas platyrhynchos platyrhynchos (common mallard). Its description in RNAcentral is "lncRNA (ENSAPLG00000021630.1)". Lineage: Eukaryota; Metazoa; Chordata; Aves; Anseriformes; Anatidae. The record is from RNAcentral.
GUUUUACUCACCAAUCCUGCCUUCAUUCCCUCUCUCAUUUCCAUUUUUCAGUGCUUCAUCUUACUACGCAAUGCUUAGUGCUCUAGCCCCCAGAAACAAGUUGUUUCCAGGGGAAUAAAACAAAAAGAAAAAUGAAGAAACAAACAAAACCAAACCAAAAAAUCCACAUCUAUUUUUCUAUCUCUCAUGUGUGUAUUAAAAGAAUGUUUUUCACUUUCAUGGUUUCAGGGAAAACGUGAUAACAUGGUCCCAGUGCGUGUUCCCCAUAAGCUCAAAAUCCAGAAGUUUGAAGAUCCUGAUUUCUAAUCUUGGGUUGUGACUUCAGCAGGUAUGACUUACUAUUUUUCAAUUACAUUUGUUUUUCUAACAUUGCUUAACAGAUUUUUUUGGAGCAUGUGAAUACAUUCUUCCAGUGACUCCUGUUUCCUCAUAGAAAACAUUUCCUCAUUUCCUUUGUAGAAAAUUACAGUUUGUUAUCUAGCUGCUUAUGAAGAGAUGCCCGUUCCUUUUCUUACACUUGCACAUCCAGACACCUGACAUCUUCUUCCUGGUAAAGGGCUAGACAGAGACCUUCUGAGAAGCACUGAAAGAAACUUUCAUUACCACACCAGUGUUUUCACAAGUCUCCUGUGCAGUCUGGAGCCAAGUUGUCCAUACCAUCUUGAAUUUUGUUACAGGGUCUCAACCUGGCACACUGACUGAUUUUCACUUAAACUGAUGAAGCAGUCAGGUUGGAACUCAAAUUGAGAUUGAUACCUCUCGUUCAGGGGCUUAUACAUAGCUGAUGAGAACCCACCAGUAUAACUUAUGGUAUCUUAUAUGCAUUCCCAGUGCUGCCACAAGGAUAUAGCUAUCGACCCCGUGUUGCAUCUGCCACAACAGUGGGACUCUUGUAUCCGUGAUGUGUUUCAAUGGCAUUGCAUGGCCAUGUGUAUCAUGGCUGAACGUAUCUCCAGUUACUCUGUCAGAGAAGUGUCAAAAAGAAAAGGCUAAUAGGAAUAUCUGCUACAUACCCUUUCAUAUC